Molecule: long non-coding RNA, 741 nt
Organism: Photinus pyralis (common eastern firefly)
Lineage: Eukaryota; Metazoa; Arthropoda; Insecta; Coleoptera; Lampyridae
Exons: 3
Source: RefSeq, a predicted model, not a curated record
CUGCCCUGAUAUCAAUAAAACCACAUAUAACAAUAAAUGAAAUUAAAACAAAGUUCAAUGGACUAAAAACAACAUUUGCAGCAGAGCACAAAAAGCAUUUACAAAGUUUUCGGUCUGGAGCAGGAAACGAAGAUGACAUAUACACGCCCAAAUUGUGGUAUUAUGAAAAGUUAAAAGUUCCUUUUGGACCACAUUGACACUCGUCGGUCGAUUGACUCGUUCCAAUUAACCGAAAGUGUGAGCCAAGGGGUAGAAGAAACCGAACGUAAUGAAACGGUAGAUGAUUACAUCUUACGUGAGGGUGAGGAUGGUUCACUAGAGCUAGUUGCAUUUAAUGAGGAAACACAAAAUGAUAUGGAUUUGUCGCAGCCUCCAAUAAUUGUUGAAAGUGAUGUUUCUGAAGACAGGAGUUCUGUUUACAAACAUGUACAAAGGAGUAAACAUUCACAAAAGAGGAAACUUGCUAGUUCCGACGCUGUUGUUGCUGAGGCAUCAAAUACAUUAAAAAAUAUUAGUAACCUUAUAUCCAAGCAAAGUAAUAACACAAAAACAUCCAGUAGUGUUCAUAAUGAGAAUGAUAUUGCUUUCUCACAGUUUAUUGUGACAAAAUUGAAACAAAUAUCUAAUGAUGAUAUUCGUUUAGAAGUUGAAGAAACAAUCACUAGAUGUUUAUAUGACGGAAUAAGAAGGUGUAGCCAUAAGUAAAACUUGGUUUUUUAUUUUUUCCUGUAAAUUGUUUUA